This is a long non-coding RNA of Saccostrea echinata, 341 nucleotides long. RefSeq lists it as uncharacterized. The record is from RefSeq and is a predicted model, not a curated record. NCBI's taxonomy places the organism in Eukaryota, Metazoa, Mollusca, Bivalvia, Ostreida, Ostreidae. The transcript is spliced from 4 exons.
AGAGAGUGUCACGAAGAAGGGAACUGCUGUCAUCAUGAUUAGCUUGGAAUGGAAUUUGUAUUUUGACAAAAGAUGCAGAUAUUUUAAGACCCGGAAUGCUCACAAAAAGGACAAGAGCUCAGAGCUGUAUGGAAAUUUACACAAAGGGUCAGUUAACAGAUUUUGCAAAUAUGGAGGAUAAUAUAUCAAAGGCAGCAUAGGCGUCCAAACUCCUGUUCAGGGUGCUUUUAAUCAGAAGCUUAAGAGACAAAAGACGACCCAUUGACAAGGCAAAACUGAAUGUUUUAUAUGAAAUUGAGCAAGAAAAGUUUGAAGUGUGGGAAUGAUCAACAUCAAACUUG